CCUGCCUGUAAGACUGGGAUAACUCCGGGAACCGGGGCUAAUACCGGAUAAUUCAUUUCCUCUCAUGAGGAAAUGCUGAAAGACGGUUUCGGCUGUCACUUACAGAUGGGCCCGCGGCGCAUUAGCUAGUUGGUGAGGUAACGGCUCACCAAGGCCACGAUGCGUAGCCGACCUGAGAGGGUGAUCGGCCACACUGGGACUGAGACACGGCCCAGACUCCUACGGGAGGCAGCAGUAGGGAAUCUUCCGCAAUGGACGAAAGUCUGACGGAGCAACGCCGCGUGAGCGAAGAAGGCCUUCGGGUCGUAAAGCUCUGUUGUUAGGGAAGAACAAGUAUCGGAGUAACUGCCGGUACCUUGACGGUACCUAA
RNAcentral lists this ribosomal RNA (370 nucleotides) under bacterium G9-5. RNAcentral's name for it is "bacterial SSU rRNA". It matches the Rfam family "Bacterial small subunit ribosomal RNA", at positions 125 to 482 of the family's 1533-position model. The record is from RNAcentral.